GUGGAUUAGAUACCCUGGUAGUCCACGCCGUAAACGUUGGGCACUAGGUGUGGGGAGGAAUCAACCCUUUCUGUGCCGUAGCUAACGCAUUAAGUGCCCCGCCUGGGGAGUACGGCCGCAAGGCUAAAACUCAAAGGAAUUGACGGGGGCCCGCACAAGCGGCGGAGCAUGUUGCUUAAUUCGAGGCAACGCGAAGAACCUUACCUAGGUUGAACUACGCAGGAAAAGCCACAGAGAUGUGGUGUCCUUCGGGGUCUGCGAUAGGUGGUGCACGGCCGUCGCCAACU
Molecule: ribosomal RNA, 287 nt
Filed under: uncultured bacterium
Lineage: Bacteria
Description: partial 16S ribosomal RNA
Rfam family: Bacterial small subunit ribosomal RNA
Source: RNAcentral